UGCCUAACCCUCGUGAGAAUAAAAUCUCCGAGGUAUGGCAGAAAAACUAUCCCUAGUAUUAAGCUCAUCGUCAGAGCACUAGGGAUAGUCAUAUCUUGAAAGAGAUGUGGGUGGCCGAGAGGUCAUC
RNAcentral lists this small RNA (127 nucleotides) under unclassified sequences. RNAcentral describes it as "LOOT RNA". It matches the Rfam family "LOOT RNA". From Rfam's summary of the family: Latescibacteria, OD1/Parcubacteria, OP11, TM7. Lineage (Microgenomates, aka OP11) The record is from Rfam by way of RNAcentral.